This 127-nucleotide ribosomal RNA is filed under the name Serratia marcescens. RNAcentral describes it as "partial 16S ribosomal RNA". It matches the Rfam family "Bacterial small subunit ribosomal RNA", at positions 1415 to 1533 of the family's 1533-position model. Lineage: Bacteria; Pseudomonadati; Pseudomonadota; Gammaproteobacteria; Enterobacterales; Yersiniaceae. The record is from RNAcentral.
UUGCAAAAGAAGUAGGUAGCUUAACCUUCGGGAGGGCGCUUACCACUUUGUGAUUCAUGACUGGGGUGAAGUCGUAACAAGGUAACCGUAGGGGAACCUGCGGUUGGAUCACCUCCUUACCUAAAGA